Molecule: unclassified non-coding RNA, 569 nt
Filed under: Hevea brasiliensis (rubber tree)
Lineage: Eukaryota; Viridiplantae; Streptophyta; Magnoliopsida; Malpighiales; Euphorbiaceae
Source: RNAcentral
CAAAUGAGUGAUUCAGUUCUUAGUUGUCAAGCAGGAUAAGUGAACACUCAACACAACCACAUGGCUUACUGCACCUGUAAGUCAAGAGUGAAGAAAAAUGUUAAAUGAAUUUGUGUUUCCUAAUGUAUGCAGGCUGUGAUCAAGCUUUCCAUCCAAAAAUCACCUAAAAUUCAUCAUGCUUGGAAAUCUAGCUUGAGGCGCCAACCUGUUAAUUGGAUGCAAUUUCAAAAUCCAAAUCCUGUAGUUCUUCAGUUGGGCAGAAACCUGAAAGAGAAAGUUCUGAAGUAACAACGAGAUUUACGGUAGAAUAAGCCUUCACUCAUUAUGUGCCCAAAACCUGAUUUGUGCCGCUAGACAAAUUCGUUAUCACAACAGUUGGCUAUAGCAAGUUAGCAACCCCAGCAUGCCCCAUUAAUUUGGGUCUACCCCACACUUCUGUAGUGUUAGGCAUAUGGUAGAUAAACAAACACCAAAUCCAAGCCGCAAAGUCUGAUCAUCAACUGCUUCUUUCAGCAUCUCACAUUAAGCUUUCCAUAAGUUCCAACUUAGGAAAAAUGGUGUUUUUGAAG